UUUAUGGAGAGUUUGAUCCUGGCUCAGGAUGAACGCUGGCGGCGUGCCUAAUACAUGCAAGUCGAGCGAACGGACGAGAAGCUUGCUUCUCUGAUGUUAGCGGCGGACGGGUGAGUAACACGUGGAUAACCUACCUAUAAGACUGGGAUAACUUCGGGAAACCGGAGCUAAUACCGGAUAAUAUUUUGAACCGCAUGGUUCAAAAGUGAAAGACGGUCUUGCUGUCACUUAUAGAUGGAUCCGCGCUGCAUUAGCUAGUUGGUAAGGUAACGGCUUACCAAGGCAACGAUGCAUAGCCGACCUGAGAGGGUGAUCGGCCACACUGGAACUGAGACACGGUCCAGACUCCUACGGGAGGCAGCAGUAGGGAAUCUUCCGCAAUGGGCGAAAGCCUGACGGAGCAACGCCGCGUGAGUGAUGAAGGUCUUCGGAUCGUAAAACUCUGUUAUUAGGGAAGAACAUAUGUGUAAGUAACUGUGCACAUCUUGACGGUACCUAAUCAGAAAGCCACGGCUAACUACGUGCCAGCAGCCGCGGUAAUACGUAGGUGGCAAGCGUUAUCCGGAAUUAUUGGGCGUAAAGCGCGCGUAGGCGGUUUUUUAAGUCUGAUGUGAAAGCCCACGGCUCAACCGUGGAGGGUCA
Molecule: ribosomal RNA, 642 nt
Filed under: Staphylococcus aureus
Lineage: Bacteria; Bacillati; Bacillota; Bacilli; Caryophanales; Staphylococcaceae
Description: bacterial SSU rRNA
Rfam family: Bacterial small subunit ribosomal RNA
Source: RNAcentral